AGAGUUUGAUCAUGGCUCAGAUUGAACGCUGGCGGCAGGCCUAACACAUGCAAGUCGAACGGUAACAGGAAGCAGCUUGCUGCUUUGCUGACGAGUGGCGGACGGGUGAGUAAUGUCUGGGAAACUGCCUGAUGGAGGGGGAUAACUACUGGAAACGGUAGCUAAUACCGCAUAACGUCGCAAGACCAAAGAGGGGGACCUUAGGGCCUCUUGCCAUCGGAUGUGCCCAGAUGGGAUUAGCUAGUAGGUGGGGUAACGGCUCACCUAGGCGACGAUCCCUAGCUGGUCUGAGAGGAUGACCAGCCACACUGGAACUGAGACACGGUCCAGACUCCUACGGGAGGCAGCAGUGGGGAAUAUUGCACAAUGGGCGCAAGCCUGAUGCAGCCAUGCCGCGUGUAUGAAGAAGGCCUUCGGGUUGUAAAGUACUUUCAGCGGGGAGGAAGGGAGUAAAGUUAAUACCUUUGCUCAUUGACGUUACCCGCAGAAGAAGCACCGGCUAACUCCGUGCCAGCAGCCGCGGUAAUACGGAGGGUGCAAGCGUUAAUCGGAAUUACUGGGCGUAAAGCGCACGCAGGCGGUUUGUUAAGUCAGAUGUGAAAUCCCCGGGCUCAACCUGGGAACUGCAUCUGAUACUGGCAAGCUUGAGUCUCGUAGAGGGGGGUAGAAUUCCAGGUGUAGCGGUGAAAUGCGUAGAGAUCUGGAGGAAUACCGGUGGCGAAGGCGGCCCCCUGGACGAAGACUGACGCUCAGGUGCGAAAGCGUGGGGAGCAAACAGGAUUAGAUACCCUGGUAGUCCACGCCGUAAACGAUGUCGACUUGGAGGUUGUGCCCUUGAGGCGUGGCUUCCGGAGCUAACGCGUUAAGUCGACCGCCUGGGGAGUACGGCCGCAAGGUUAAAACUCAAAUGAAUUGACGGGGGCCCGCACAAGCGGUGGAGCAUGUGGUUUAAUUCGAUGCAACGCGAAGAACCUUACCUGGUCUUGACAUCCACGGAAGUUUUCAGAGAUGAGAAUGUGCCUUCGGGAACCGUGAGACAGGUGCUGCAUGGCUGUCGUCAGCUCGUGUUGUGAAAUGUUGGGUUAAGUCCCGCAACGAGCGCAACCCUUAUCCUUUGUUGCCAGCGGUCCGGCCGGGAACUCAAAGGAGACUGCCAGUGAUAAACUGGAGGAAGGUGGGGAUGACGUCAAGUCAUCAUGGCCCUUACGACCAGGGCUACACACGUGCUACAAUGGCGCAUACAAAGAGAAGCGACCUCGCGAGAGCAAGCGGACCUCAUAAAGUGCGUCGUAGUCCGGAUUGGAGUCUGCAACUCGACUCCAUGAAGUCGGAAUCGCUAGUAAUCGUGGAUCAGAAUGCCACGGUGAAUACGUUCCCGGGCCUUGUACACACCGCCCGUCACACCAUGGGAGUGGGUUGCAAAAGAAGUAGGUAGCUUAACCUUCGGGAGGGCGCUUACCACUUUGUGAUUCAUGACUGGGGUGAAGUCGUAACAAGGUAACCGUAGGGGAACCUGCGGUUGGAUCACCU
RNAcentral lists this ribosomal RNA (1530 nucleotides) under Escherichia coli. RNAcentral's name for it is "bacterial SSU rRNA". It matches the Rfam family "Bacterial small subunit ribosomal RNA". Lineage: Bacteria; Pseudomonadati; Pseudomonadota; Gammaproteobacteria; Enterobacterales; Enterobacteriaceae. The record is from RNAcentral. RNAcentral also lists the same sequence under 50 other names.